UCAAUGAAAUUAAUCUUCCUGUGAAAAAGCAGGAAUAAAAUUAUAAGACGAAAAGACCCUAUGGAGCUUUAAACUUAUUACCACUUAUUUAGUUACAUAACAAUUUAAAUAAUAAGACUGUUCUUUAAUAGUUUUCGGUUGGGGCGACCCUGGAGAAAAAUAAAUCCUCCAGAUUGAAAAAUAACCCUUAUAUAAGAACCACAAUUCAAAUAAACAAAAAUUUGACAAAACUGACCCAGAAUAACUGAUCAGUGAACCAAGUUACCCUAGGGAUAACAGCGCUAUCCAUUUUGAGAGUCCGUAUUGACAAAUGGGUUUACGACCUCGAUGUUGGAUCGGGGUAUCCCAGCAGCGCAGCAGUUGCUAAUGGUUCGUUUGUUCAACGACUAACACCCCACGUGAUCUGAGUU
RNAcentral lists this ribosomal RNA (410 nucleotides) under Hyperolius rubrovermiculatus. RNAcentral's name for it is "partial 16S ribosomal RNA". It matches the Rfam family "Bacterial large subunit ribosomal RNA", at positions 2033 to 2611 of the family's 2925-position model. The record is from RNAcentral. Lineage: Eukaryota; Metazoa; Chordata; Amphibia; Anura; Hyperoliidae.